Marmota flaviventris (yellow-bellied marmot) is the source of this 329-nucleotide non-coding RNA. The record is from RefSeq and is a predicted model, not a curated record. NCBI's taxonomy places the organism in Eukaryota, Metazoa, Chordata, Mammalia, Rodentia, Sciuridae.
GUCAGGCUCAGUCCCCUCCCGAUAAACCCCUAAAUAGGGACCUUCCCGGGGGUUUGCCCGGGAUUUCUCCGCAGAAACCCCCAGUUUAAGAAGGCCUCUCCCCUACCCUGAGACUCAUCAGGCCAACGUGGUGAUUUCUAAAACUGCCAGCUGCUCGCUAUUUCCUGUUGCAAAUUAGGAGAAAAACAAAGCACGUAUUAUCUGAACCUUAGGCACAGUUGAGAAUGUGCUAGCAGAAUAUUACUCAAAACAUUCUACUUUUAAGUUUGCCGAGAAACAAAUUAACUUUACAAAAGAAUCAUUUUCGGCGGACACAACAUCCUUGUUUG